AGCAGCAGCAGCAGGGGGGCCAGGACGGCGCAGCAGGGAAGGAAUGCAGAGCAGGGGGAGCGCCUCUCCGUCCCAGCGCCUCCCUGCACUGCAUCCCUUCGCUGAGCGGGUAGCGCCGGGCCUGGUCCCUGCUAAAAAGGAGCAGUAACACGUGUUGCAGGACGCUACCCACUGUACCGCAACUUGGUGAGACUGAACCACACUGGCCACAGCUGGUUGCUAAGGAAACAGUGCGAUGGGUCACCGGCUGCGCCGUAGAGCGUGAGACGUGAUGACGUCAUCAUUAGAAGCCGUCGGGACGGGUGCGUGGUCCCGCUACCCGAACGGCAUCAAUCACUGACGGGUGGGGA
Pseudophryne corroboree (corroboree frog) is the source of this 350-nucleotide long non-coding RNA. RefSeq lists it as uncharacterized. Lineage: Eukaryota; Metazoa; Chordata; Amphibia; Anura; Myobatrachidae. The record is from RefSeq and is a predicted model, not a curated record. The transcript is spliced from 3 exons.